Long non-coding RNA from Sorex fumeus (smoky shrew), 447 nucleotides. RefSeq lists it as uncharacterized. Lineage: Eukaryota; Metazoa; Chordata; Mammalia; Eulipotyphla; Soricidae. The record is from RefSeq and is a predicted model, not a curated record. The transcript has 3 exons.
GAGGUCGGUGUCCCGAGUGAUUGCAUGAAAAGAAGCCCGGAGGGGACAGGCAACGAGCCGGGAGCCAGCAGGAAAGCAAAGAAGGAAAGACCUCAUAGAGCAAAAGGCACUUCCACCUGAACCUUCAUAAGUGGUCCAGCAACUGAUAAGGAGAAGAGAUAGCAAAGCUGACAUCACCCAAGUCUUUCAGAGAAACAGUGACCUUCACAGCUGUACAUUCCUAGCCAAUGACUGAACCUUCUGGGAAAGACAAGGGUACAGAGGGAGACUUGUACCUUCACUGCGCACUCCACAGACUCAUUCUUUCUCUGCCCUCAGUGUACAGACAAUAUUUGCAAAGGUAACAUGGUAAAGAAAAUAUAUGAGAUAAAUAAAAUGCGCUUAUGAUGAAAGAUGAUUGAAAAACACUGUGACUGUCUUCUUAACUAUGAUUUAAACAAUGUAUGA